CCACUCGUAGAGUUUUCCAGCCCUGCUGCAGCUGUUUCUUCUUCUCUGGCAGAGAUACGAGGCUGUGCCGCCGUACCUCUGCGCUGUAUUUCACUUCUGAGGCUCGCAGAAGAGCCGUAUUUCACGUGUGAUUUAGAUCUUCUGCAGAUGUUCUCAGAAAUCAUGUGCUCCUUUCUUCUUGAAGUAUGAGACCGUUAGCAUGCCUCUGCAUAAUUAUUAAGAGUAUCCUACACGUAAGGAACCAGCCUUGUGACCUUACUGAGGUCACAAACCAGGUUCCUCCUCAACCUACAUGAGAGAGAUCAGAAAAGACAGAUGAGAUCUUCAUGCCAGGUCCACACCAAAGCCACUACAGCUCCUGUCUUUAUCAACAUGUCUCAGGACCACACAACAAACUUUCUACAAAGUUUAUAAUCAGUGUUACCAAAAGCUGCACAUGAAAAAUGAACCAAGUAUGCUUGGUCUUUACCUGUGGUGAGGAUAUCAGGUGAUGCAGUGAAAGCUCUUUUAUUUUUCAAUCCCAAACUUGGGGGCAGAUGAAUCUGAAUUGACAUUAUUUGCUGAUCUGGGGUAUUACACGCACCCUUAAUGCAAAAUCGAUCAGCUUUUUCCACACGCACACAAAGUGGUGAUAGUUAACAAUUUUGGCCACAUAAAUCUGUACCAAAUACUGUUAAUUUUCAAGUUCCACGAGAAAUAAAAUCUUACUAAUAGUCAAAGCAAUUUCUCAUAUAAAUGAAAUCAGAUAAGACUCAGUCUUUUGUUCCAAAACAUUUUACUACAAACUCUGUGUAACUGAUUAUACCCAACGUUACUGGACGUGUAAUCAGUGAUGAAUACGAUACUGUAGUAUAUUAACUCUCUGAGAAAGAUCUUAUUGUUCCAAAUCUCUUUCUGAAUUAAAAUAUUAGUCUAUUGUAUGAAUCAUUUCACAGCUGGCUCUGAUUUGCCUUGGUUUCUAUGCAGCAAUUAAUUCUGCUCAGAAUUAAGAGAACAGAAAGAUACAGUUAUUUCUGGAGUCUCUGGUUACAGUGUUAUUUGAGAUCAAGAGAGAUUCAAAUACAUCUUUUUUUAGCAGUGAACCCUAGAAUCCUUCAAGGCCAGGUGACUUAACAAAAUAAAAACAGGGUUUUUGUUUGUUUGUUCCAAUCAAAGCAGAAUGUAUUGGUUACAGUGACCACAAUGACCAAAGGGAUGUCCCAUACCGUGUGGUGUCAUGUUCAGCAAUAAAAGCUGGGGUAAAGAAGAAGGAAGGGGGGGGACAUGGGGAGUGAUGGCGUUUGUCUCCCCAAGAAACCAUUGCAUGUGCUGAGCCCUGGUCUCCUGGACGUGGCUGAACACCCGCCUGCCGAUGGGAAGCAGCGAAUGGAUUCCUGCCUUGGCUUUGCUUCCGUGUGAAGCUUUUGCUUCGCCUAGUGAACUGGUCUUGUCUCAUCCCACGAGUUCUCGCGCUUUUACCUUCCCCACUCUCUCCCAUAUCCCACCAGGGAAGUGAGUGAGCAGCUGGGUGGCACUGGGCUGCCUGCGGGGUUAAACCACAACAACACAACACAGACCUUCCCAUGCUAACAGAUCAUAUAUCUGAGUCCUCAUCCUGAAAAAUCAAUGGGCACAUCUUGAACACUGACUUCAUUUACUGGCUGUGUUUUUUUCCUUCUGCCCCGAUGUCAGAACUGUGGGAUUGUGUGGCUUUUAUAACUGUAUAGCAGGCAGUCCUAUGUAGUGUUUUAUACCCGUGUAUGUUAAGAAAUACAUGGCAUUAAAUUAACAUAAACCUUGUACUAUUUUUGAUGGGACAUAUAAGAAAAAUAGGAAAUUUUGAAGUUUUUUAGAGAUAUUUUUGUCAUGUGGCCUCCGCCCUAGGUUUGCAUGUACUUCAUGCAUGUUGGAUCAAAAUCUUUAAAUAGGAGUGUUUGCUAAGCUGUGCGUGUGUUUUACAGAUCCCUGCAGACUGGUCAUAGAGGGUUAAAACCCAAAUCAGCUGGCACUGUUCUUCAGGGCCCUUUAGACUUCUGAAUACUGCACAUGAAGAGACAGAGAGCAACCUGUGGGAACAGCAGUAGUUAGCACUACUCAAACACCAUUUAGAAGAGGGCUAAGAUUUUUUUAUUCUUUCCCUGUCGUUAAAGUCCAAGCCAGGUUUACCCAUCUGGAAAUGAAUUUGAGGAGGUAUACCUGUUACUAAGUGACUUUGAGGGGGUAUACCUAGAACCAAGUGGCUUGUGGUUGUAAUGCUGUCCUCCAAAAGGUAGCGUCUCGUGUUGCUGGAUGAGGGCACACUGAUUGCCUUUUUGGACCUACUGCUGCCUGACAAGCUGCAUGUGCCAUUUGGUCUUCUGAGGCCUGGGGGUAACGCAGCUCCUGCGAGAGGCGGCAGGUGAAUGCAAGGAACUGUGCUCCUGCCAGCGUGCCAAGCAGCAGGCACACCCCUCCCGACACGAAUGUGCGUGUACGAUAUCGGGGCUUCCAGACACGGAGAGGUGUGUGCGGUCCAGCUGGCAAUCGGCUCCUCAGGAGAUGCCCACUCUCUCUCAGCUGUUGGAGAAAGGAUUUGUUCUUUUCAAAGGCUCAGUGCGUCUAUCAGUGCGUGUUCUGCUACCGCAUGAAGUGUUCUGUACUGUAAGGAUCGUUUUCCUCUUUCCCAGUUCUGGGCACAGCCAGCAGCACAGGGAGCUGGAGUGUGGGAGCACAGGCAUAGGAAAGAACGGCAAUUUCCAAAUCAGCAGCCUCCACGUAAGCAGCAGAACUCAUGGCCAAAAAGGGAUGCCUUUUAUCUCUGUGAUGCGGAAUGAUGUGGCAGUGCUAGGUACUGCAGGUUUGGCAUAUAUGAAAACUGCU
Cygnus olor (mute swan) is the source of this 2838-nucleotide long non-coding RNA. RefSeq lists it as uncharacterized. The transcript has 3 exons. Lineage: Eukaryota; Metazoa; Chordata; Aves; Anseriformes; Anatidae. The record is from RefSeq and is a predicted model, not a curated record.